Molecule: long non-coding RNA, 2745 nt
Organism: Mustela lutreola (European mink)
Lineage: Eukaryota; Metazoa; Chordata; Mammalia; Carnivora; Mustelidae
Exons: 2
Source: RefSeq, a predicted model, not a curated record
UGAAGGCUGAGACCGCGGUGGGAGCCUCCUGAGACUGGUGGGGUCUUGUCCCAAAGAGCUGGUUGUGCAGAGCAGGGAGGAGUGAAGCUGGGCUGGAGAGUUGGCCUUGGUCCAGAGGCGCUCUCAGUUUCCUUGGGCCAAUCCCAGAGCCCCGGAGACUUUUGGUCUCUUGGUUUGAGAGGCAGGAACAAAUGAACCACCUCUUCUGAAGUUUCCAAACUGCUCUCUUUCCCUCUCCCACCUCCAUACCCUGUACAGGGAGGGGCGGAAGGAGGAAGAUUUUCAGAGUAGACAUCCAAAGUCAACAGGCAGAGUGUCAGGUAACAGGGCCCAGCCCCUCUCAUAAGCCACUGGGGUCCUUCUGCAGAAGUGUUGUUUCCUUGUUCCUGAUCUGAGCCUGGCCUUCAGCCCACAGUUUGCCUGUCGGACGGCCACUGGAAAAAACAUCCUCUGUGAUCCCCUGUGGCCCACGCCCCUCUGAGCCUCAACAUUCUCAUCUGUGCAAUGGCUCUACAGAAGCAAAACUCCCCAAUGCUCUUUUCCUGAACUCUCGUCUCAAGGGCAACAACUGACCUUGCUGGGCAACAUGGAAAACACCUUUGGUCAUGAUAGUCUUGGCGUUUCCUCUCUUAACUAAGAUCCUCGGGGGAGUCAGGAAUUUGUAACAUUAGGGAAAAGAGUGGCCUUUCUUUGACCUUCUUCUCUCAGAGCAGAACUGGUAGAUCUAGACCAAGUCAGCAAAUAAGCAAAGGUUGGGAAUUCAGCCAGAGGUUGGAAAAGGCGGAACAGAGAAGGCUCUGGAUGCUAACCAGGGAAUGUGUGUCUUCAACAAAAUGGGACCAGGGGACAAAGAGUGGCUGACUGGACAGUGCCCCAGUGUUCAUGAUUUCUACAUGCCUCCAGAAGUGUGGGAUAGUGACCUCCCCUACCCCUCUGCUGUCCUUCUGGGUUUCUGCUGACCCCUUGGGGAGCAGGCAGGGGGAUGACAAUUUGUCCUCCUGCUUAGAGUGAAGGGAGCAGGCUGGUCCCGGGGGUGCGGGGAGUAGCCCACAAGCCAAGUGGCAGCCCUUAAUGGGAAGGGAAGAACUUGGUGGGCUGGACCCUGCCAGAGGGUCUGUUGCCUUUUGUGUAGAAUCUGCAUUUUCAUCGAACACUUGUCAAUCCCUUAGCCCUGGGGUAUCUGUACCCUUGGAAAAAAAUCACACAAUUCAUGUCCACUCGGCUUAAGUGCAUUAGAGAUCAUUCCGUGGAAAUACCUUCCUUUUUGUGUCUGAUUAAAGCUGUGUUUAAGCUGAUUCAGGAGUUCCCAGACCACACUGGCUACUGGAGGAGGGGAAGAAAGCCCCAAAACCUUAGUGGAGAACAGUGACAAGUUUCCUGGGUUGUCAAGCAUUUGCCCUGGGUUACCCAAGAUGGACGGACAUCCCCACAGGGAGUGAAAAUCUGGGCUCUAUAAUGCCGGGAAGGACCUCGGGGCAGUGACUGAAAUUUCAGCUCUCUGUUCCAGCUCCAUGAACUUGUACGCUUCGCUUAGCCAGGCUGGGAAUCCACUGCUGGGUGACCAAAGAAAACAAAUCACUGGAAAUGAUUAUAAAACCUUCUACACACGGGCCUGACAGGAAAACAAAGAAAGCUCUCGAAGGUUAAACAGGAAAGGACCUGAACAGAUUCCAGGGCAUAAACCCAAGUGAGGAGGAAGUCAUGGAGGGGUAUGGAUCAAGGAUUUAACCAUGAGGGUAGACUGCUUUGUGUUCAGUUCUCCACUUGCCCUUUCCCUAGGGGUCUAACUUCUUCAUUUCUCUGGCCUCAGCUUUUGCAUCUGGAAAGCGAGAAGUCUCAUGCCUGCCUUAUACAGAACUGUUGCAUCAAAUGCAAGGUGAAAACCAAGGGUGGUGCCUGCUACGUAGAGAUACCAAGGCAAGGAGCAUCCACAACAAGAGCUCUGCCCUCUCGGGGGGGAACCUGCUUGAUUACGGGAAAGUCGGCACUCCCUGCAUGUUGAAUUUAAAUCUCCACGGAGACUUCCCUGAUUCUAGCCUAGUGAUGGAUGUUUCCCUGCCGCUCGUCCCAGUGAUGUGACUACCACGCUAGCUGGGGAUAGAAGACAAAAGCCAAGCCACUGACCAUGCCACGUGGUGGAGUUGGCCCACUUUGUCUGUUUGACUCCUGCCCCGCUGCAGGCAUUAGUUAGCCCAUAGACGAAAGCUAUAGAGACUUGGGGCUGCCCCAUUUCUUUCCAGGUGAGAGUUUCCCUCUGAUCUUAUCUCUGCCCAGCAAUAAACGGUAGGCCCUGAGACUCUGAUCUUGACUCUGCUCUGACACUUUGAACUAUUGCUGGCCCUCCUCCUGGCAGACCUCAGCUUCCCCUAAUGCACCCGGACGUGCCAACCGGUUCUACUUCUGGAAGUCACCCCUGCCUCCAGCCAGUUGGCGAGCACCCUUGCCGGGCUGCUCCCCUCUUUCCCCAAGAUGGCAUUGUCAGACUGGGCUUCUUCCCUGCUGAACCCCAAGCAGACACUGUUACAGGAGGUUGGAGGAAGGAGAGGUCCCUGAGAGGGUUAUCAGGGGGAAGCAGAGGGGAGGCAGGGAAGCUUAUGAAGAGUGGGGUCUGAUCCUUGACAUCAGAGUGGGAACAGGACAGUCUGGUAUGCUUGUAUGGCUUAGCUCAGGGGUUGGCAAAUCCUGGCUCUAGAGCCAGAUCCAACCUGACACCUGUUUCUGUAAAUAAAAUUGUGUUGGCUCACA